UAAUUUUGUAAUUUCAGGAUUUAUCGCCCAAGAGUUGCUUGUAGGUGAGUACAUCAAACCUUGGUAACUUUGUGAGUCUGUUUUAAUUCCACUAACUUUAGGGUUUUGUAACGAAGUCACUUACUGAAAAGCCUUCUCUUGCUUCUGGUAACUAUGCCUUUUUGGCCGAUACUAUCUGACACAAAUCUUCUGCUCUAGAUUGCAUUAUAUAGAGGGAUCAGAUGCAUAGCUGAAAUUCUUGGAAAUGUCUUACAUUUAUAAUGCUUUCAGAAAGUUCAAAUGUUGGAAGAUAGAGGACAACACUUUAUAAGUUAUUCUUCAGCCUCUAUAUUUCUGAUUCAAAUACAGAGUAUAAUUGAGUCAGGAUAUAUUAUAAGGCAUAAUAUAUUGAUUUUUUUUUUUGCUUCUGUGUAUAACUGACCCAAUGGGAAUUAUGAGAGGGAGAUGGAAAGUUCUGCACAUUUGGCCAGUUUUUAUCCCUAUGAAAUCUAUAUUCCUUCUUCUUUUCUUAUAAUGUUACAGUGCUUCUUAGAGUGCGCCCUGGUUCAGGACAUAGCUUAGCCAUUAAUCUAGUUAUUUAGUUUUCUCCCUGCUCUGUGGACCAGGCGUAUGCUAACGGCUCCUUUUACUUUAGAUUGAAUAAUUGGUAGGUGUUUAUCCAAGAGGUGUUGGCAUUUGCUGAUUUUUUUUAAAAAACUGUACUCAUUCAUUUCGACUUAUUGCUAUUCAGAAGGGUAGAGGUUAGAAUCACCUGAUCGUGUUGCCAAGAAUGCAAAGCGCUAUACCUCAUUCCUAGAGGGCCUGAUUUAUUAAAGCCAGGAUGGAGGCUGGGCACGGUGGCUCACUCCUGUAAUCCCAGCACUUUGGGAGGCUGAGGCUGGAGGAUUGCUUGAGCUCAGGAGUUUGAGACCAGCCUGAGCAACAUGGCGAAACACCAUCUCUCAAAAAAAAAAAAAAAAAAAAAAAAAAAAAAAAUAUAUAUAUAUAUGUUAGCUGGGCAUGGUGGCGAAUGCCUGUGGUCCCAGCUACUGGGGAGGCUGAAGUGGAAGGAUCAGUUGAGCUUGGGAGGUGGAGGUGGGGGUGGAGGUGGGGGUGGAGGUUGCAGUAAGCUGAGAUGGCACCACUGCACUCCAGCUUGGGCGACGGAGUGGGACCCUGUCGUAAAAAAAAAAAAUGCUGGGAUGGGAUUCAGAAAGCAUCCCCAUUUUUAAUAAACCCUCCUGGUGUUUCUGACAUAGGGGUUCCUUGGACCACAUUUUCAUAAAAUCUGGUUAAAAUUUUAAGAACACAAGGGUGAUUUAAAAUGUGAGUGUCCUUUUGAAACUUUUUAAAAUAUUGCUAAAUUAAUACAUGUUUAUUAUAAGACAAACAAUAUAAAAGUGUAUAACAUUUUUUAAGUGAAAUUUCAUUGUUUCUCCUCUCUUAAUCCCAAGAAUUACUGUUAAGUUUAUUGUACAUGUAGCCAGACUUUAAAAAAAUACACAUACAAUUAACAUAUGCAUAUAUCUAAUACUUGAUUUAUUUUAAAUAAAACCACAUUUUAUAUAAACUAUGCAUAAGUAAUUGCUUUUUUCCAUCUAUCUUUGUGAAACUGAUAUUAGCAUAUUUUGCCUAUCACUUCUUUUAAAUACAUGGAAGGUAUUUUUAAAAGUACACUUUAUUUUUUCAGAGCCAUUUUAGGUUCACUGCAAAACUGAGUGGAAAGUAUUAGGGUUUCCAUAUACCCCUUGUCUCAACACAUGCGCAGCCUUCUCCACUGUCAGUAUUGCCCACUAGAGUACAUUUGUUAAAUGGAUGACUCUAUAUUGACACAUCAUUAUCACAUAAGUUCAUCAUUUACAUAGGAUUCACUCUUCACGUACAUUCUAUGGAUUUUGACAAAUGCGUUGUGAAAUUUAUUUACCAUUACAGUAUCAUACAUAAAAUCAUACAUCAUAUCCUCUUUGCUUGCCUAUUUGACUCUCCCUCCACCCUGGCAACCACUGAUCUUUUUUUACUGACUUCAUGGUUUUGCCUUUUCCAGUAUAUCAUAUAGUUGGAAUCAUACAGUUUGAACACAAGUUUUCAGCUCCUUUGGACAAAUACCAAGGAACACAAUUGCUUGAUCAUAUGUUCCAGGUGUGUCUUUAUCAGCAGCAUGAAAAUGGACUAAUACAGAUCCUGACUUUUGUUUUCAAAACACUUUGCUUGAAGAGCUGAAUAUAAGUUGGCACCUCCCAUUUCUCUCACCUGGUUUGAAAUUCUUAUAAUAAAGCUAUGUGUUUAAAAAU
Molecule: long non-coding RNA, 2270 nt
Filed under: Homo sapiens (human)
Lineage: Eukaryota; Metazoa; Chordata; Mammalia; Primates; Hominidae
Description: HSALNT0334865
Source: RNAcentral